CUGAGAUAGCUCAGUCGGUAGAGAAGGAGACUGUUAAUCUCAAGGUCCUGGGUUCAAGCUCCACAUUGGGCAAGA
Non-coding RNA from Podarcis lilfordi (Lilford's wall lizard), 75 nucleotides. The record is from the annotation of a GenBank genome assembly. Lineage: Eukaryota; Metazoa; Chordata; Lepidosauria; Squamata; Lacertidae.